AUGCCCGGGGAUACCGAACUGACCCUGAAAAAAGGGUCUUGGAGAGAGACUCUUACUUUAUCCUGCAAUUACAAAGGAUCUGGUAACAAUAAUUACCUGCAGUGGUAUCGUCAGUUCUCCACAUUUAGACCAGAGUUCAUUAUUCUGAAUGAAGAAAAAAAUCGAGUGGAUCUGAAGAUCUCCUCUGCUGCAGUAUCAGAUUAUGCUCUCUACUACUGUUUUCAGACCUCCAAGUGA
Non-coding RNA from Trichomycterus rosablanca, 237 nucleotides. The record is from the annotation of a RefSeq genome assembly. NCBI's taxonomy places the organism in Eukaryota, Metazoa, Chordata, Actinopteri, Siluriformes, Trichomycteridae.